This 445-nucleotide ribosomal RNA is filed under the name uncultured bacterium. RNAcentral describes it as "bacterial SSU rRNA". It matches the Rfam family "Bacterial small subunit ribosomal RNA", at positions 330 to 792 of the family's 1533-position model. The record is from RNAcentral.
CCCAGACUCCUACGGGAGGCAGCAGUGGGGAAUAUUGCACAAUGGGGGAAACCCUGAUGCAGCGACGCCGCGUGAGUGAAGAAGUAUUUCGGUAUGUAAAGCUCUCUCAGCAGGGAAGAUAAUGACGGUACCUGACUAAGAAGCCCCGGCUAACUACGUGCCAGCAGCCGCGGUAAUACGUAGGGGGCAAGCGUUAUCCGGAUUUACUGGGUGUAAAGGGUGCGUAGGUGGCAGGGCAAGUCAGAUGUGAAAGCCCGGGGCUCAACCCCGGUACUGCAUUUGAAACUGUCCAGCUGGAGUGCAGGAGAGGUAAGCGGAAUUCCUAGUGUAGCGGUGAAAUGCGUAGAUAUUAGGAGGAACACCAGUGGCGAAGGCGGCCUGCUGGGCUUUAACUGACGCUGAGGCUCGAAAGCGUGGGGAGCAAACAGGAUUAGAUACCCGUGUA